Molecule: long non-coding RNA, 610 nt
Organism: Drosophila biarmipes
Lineage: Eukaryota; Metazoa; Arthropoda; Insecta; Diptera; Drosophilidae
Exons: 2
Source: RefSeq, a predicted model, not a curated record
CCGACGUCACAGUCGACUUUGUGCUAAUUGCGCGCUUAAGCUGAAUUGUGAAACUGCAUGGGAGAUAUAAGGCUCAUAAUCGGGAUCAAUUUUUUGCGGAGAAAUAUGGAGGAGAUCUAAACGAAGUUACAGAUCAACAGAAUAUAAUCGGAAACAGUAAUGCACACAACAGUGACGUACACGAUGUUAACCUGCUGACAUAGAUGUUGGACUCAAGUAUGUUCGGUAGUUCAGUCUGAGGGGAGCGGAGUUACCGCCUCAGCACUUACCGUCGGCGGUCCCCCACCAAAACCCCUUUGGCAGCCUCACAACUCCAACGUCCUGGAACGUCCUUGUUGGCAAUCAAGAAAGAUUUUUUUGUCAAGCAAUAGGCACAACUAUUUCCAUGAACCUAUUUGUUAUUAUUUUAAAAAUUAGACAAAAUAUGUAAAGAGGUUUUCAUGUUGGUUCUAGUAUUUUUGACUUAGCCCUUCGGCUCUUUAUAACUUGUAUCCACAUUGCGAACGAAGACACAGCAUACAUAAAUCAAAAGCGUAUCGUUGGUUUUUUAUGAAUCCAUUGAUGAAAGUAUUAUUUCAGCCAAAAGCCAGGAUUAAAAAAUUUCAUUAUA